GACGAACGCUGGCGGCGUGCUUAACACAUGCAAGUCGAACGGAAAGGCCCUGCUUUUGUGGGGUGCUCGCGUGGCGAACGGGUGAGUAACACGUGAGUAACCUUCCCUUGGCUUUGGGAUAACUUCAGGAAACUGGGGCUAAUACCGGAUAGGAGCUCCUGCUGCAUGGUGGGGGUUGGAAAGUUUCGGCGGUUGGGGAUGGACUCGCGGCUUAUCAGCUUGUUGGGGGGGUAGUGGCUUACCAAGGGUUUGACGGGUAGCCGGCCUGGGAGGGUGACCGGCCACAUUGGGACUGAGAUACGGCCCAGACUCCUACGGGAGGCAGCAGUGGGGAAUAUUGCACAAUGGGCGGAAGCCUGAUGCAGCAACGCCGCGUGCGGGAUGACGGCCUUCGGGUUGUAAACCGCUUUCGCCUGUGACGAAGCGUGAGUGACGGUAAUGGGUAAAGAAGCACCGGCUAACUACGUG
RNAcentral lists this ribosomal RNA (468 nucleotides) under uncultured bacterium. RNAcentral describes it as "partial 16S ribosomal RNA". It matches the Rfam family "Bacterial small subunit ribosomal RNA", at positions 28 to 507 of the family's 1533-position model. The record is from RNAcentral.